GACGGGCGCCCGGCCGGCUGUGGUCCGUGCGGAGGCUGAGCCGGCCGCGGGCGCGACCGGAGGCAGUUUCCGUUACUAUGGCAAUGACGGCAGGGACUACAACAACCUUUCCUAUGAGCAACCAUACCCGGGAAAGAGUGACUGUAGCCAAGCUCACAUUGGAGAAUUUUUAUAGCAACCUAAUUUUACAGCAUGAAGAGAGAGAAACCAGGCAGAAGAAAUUAGAAGUGGCCAUGGAAGAAGAAGGAUUAGCAGAUGAAGAGGUAAUGUAAUUACCUAUAAUUAAAAACCACCCCCAGUGACUUUUCAUUCAUUUGACAUCAGGUAUUUUAUAACUUAAAUAAUGUGGAUUUUAUCAUUUGAAUAUGGGCUUCUUACUUUGUUGCUGUCAUGGAUAUCUUUUAUUGAUAUCUUUAGAAGGAGGCAGUUUUGUUUUUUUCUUAAAUUCCAACAACAUGUAUUUAGAGAACAUUGCCGAGUGUAUUUUAGGUGUGUGGAAUGAGAAAGGCAAGCUCCAGGAGGAAUUAAUCAAUUGCUAGCUCUUCUAAAAUUUUUUCUAAAUAUUCUUUUAAAGCUAU
Molecule: small RNA, 578 nt
Filed under: Pongo abelii (Sumatran orangutan)
Lineage: Eukaryota; Metazoa; Chordata; Mammalia; Primates; Hominidae
Description: retained intron
Source: RNAcentral